CAAAGAUUAUUAUAUGUGUCUUUGUGUUUCAGUGUCAUAUAUGAUACCAUCUGUUGGGCUGGAAAUCCAGCAUUUGGAAAACUGCAAAACCGAAAAUCCAGGAAAUUUUUUAACUUCCUCUGUACUACAUUGGAUGAAUUCUUUAAAAAAUUAUUUAAAGUGUGCUGGGGACUCUGCAGGAUGAGGAACACUACAGUCAGCCAGCUUUUCUUUCUAAGGAAUCUCUGUGGAUCAAAACUUCAUUAUCCAGGAUGUACCCAACACAUAUCAAACUAG
Molecule: long non-coding RNA, 276 nt
Filed under: Cyanistes caeruleus (blue tit)
Lineage: Eukaryota; Metazoa; Chordata; Aves; Passeriformes; Paridae
Description: lncRNA (ENSCCEG00000011256.1)
Source: RNAcentral